Long non-coding RNA from Arachis ipaensis, 735 nucleotides. RefSeq lists it as uncharacterized. The record is from RefSeq and is a predicted model, not a curated record. Lineage: Eukaryota; Viridiplantae; Streptophyta; Magnoliopsida; Fabales; Fabaceae.
CGCACCAGUUCAUCCUUCUCCACCUUCUAUACAUAUAUAUAGCAGAGUCAAGCCUUUGAAUUCCUCUGGAAACCACACGAAGAGAAGAAAGGAAGAAAAAGUGGCGAUUGCUUGAGGAAGAGGAGGAGGAAAACGUCAACAAGAUCAUCAUCAUCUGCGUACAUCACCAUCAAGAAGAAAGAGAAGGGCCAUCAAGGGUGUUGCUACCCGGAGCCAAAGAAGGAACCCUACCCUUUUCCUUUAUGAUUUCCUUAGUGUUCUUCUUCUUGUUGGGUAAGACCCAGUAACCUCUGUUCUUUCUUCUUUUUCCCCAAUCCAAAAAUUCAACUUUUAUUGUGCUCCAUUUCUUGCUAGACUGACUGAAUUUCCCAAGAACUGCCACCUACAAGGGGUUCCUGAUUCAAGAAAACAAGAGAGCAAGAAUUGUGUUCUUGAGCAUCAAAAGAGGUAAGGGGUUAGGUGAUUAGAUUAGAGAUAUGUGUAGCUGACAGUUAUGAUUUUAUUGUUGAUGAUGAUUCUAUAUGAAUGUGUGGUAAUUGCUACUGGAAUUUUUUAGAGGAGUCAUAAAUUUGAUGUUGCAAUAGUUUGCUACAAUUCUGCUAGUGUAUCAUGAAUUUGUUGAGUAAUUAUUAUUGAGUAUAGUGCAGAGUUUGAUAUUGUGAAGGUGUAAUGAUAUGGUACCGAUGGUGUAAAUUUUUGGAAUAUAUGAAUUGAAGCUCUUGGAGCUGUAAUCUA